RNAcentral lists this ribosomal RNA (201 nucleotides) under uncultured bacterium. RNAcentral's name for it is "partial 16S ribosomal RNA". It matches the Rfam family "Bacterial small subunit ribosomal RNA", at positions 524 to 724 of the family's 1533-position model. The record is from RNAcentral.
UACGUAGGGGGCUAGCGUUGUCCGGAAUCAUUGGGCGUAAAGCGCGUGUAGGCGGUCCGGUAAGUCCGCUGUGAAAGUCGGGGGCUCAACCCUCGAAUGCCGGUGGAUACUGUCGGACUAGAGUCCGGAAGAGGAGAGUGGAAUUCCUGGUGUAGCGGUGAAAUGCGCAGAUAUCAGGAAGAACACCGGUGGCGAAGGCGG